GACGAACCGUGCGAACGUUGUUCGGAAUCACUGGGUUUAAAGGGCGCGUAGGCGGGCUGUCAAGUCGGUGGUGAAAUCGUUCCGCUCAACGGGACAAUGGCCUUCGAUACUGGCGGUCUGGAGGGAGGUAGGGGCAUGCGGAACUUCCGGUGGAGCGGUGAAAUGCGUAGAUAUCCGGAGGAAUACCAAAGGCGAAGGCAGUGUCCUGGCUGGCAUCUGACGCUGAGGCGCGAAAGCUAGGGGAGCGAACAGG
RNAcentral lists this ribosomal RNA (253 nucleotides) under uncultured bacterium. RNAcentral describes it as "partial 16S ribosomal RNA". It matches the Rfam family "Bacterial small subunit ribosomal RNA", at positions 524 to 776 of the family's 1533-position model. The record is from RNAcentral.